This 456-nucleotide ribosomal RNA is filed under the name uncultured Thiomonas sp. RNAcentral describes it as "bacterial SSU rRNA". It matches the Rfam family "Bacterial small subunit ribosomal RNA", at positions 67 to 519 of the family's 1533-position model. Lineage: Bacteria; Pseudomonadati; Pseudomonadota; Betaproteobacteria; Burkholderiales. The record is from RNAcentral.
CGGCAGCGCGGGGUAACCUGGCGGCGAGUGGCGAACGGAGUGAGUAAUACAUCGGAACGUGCCCUGUGAUGGGGGAUAACUACGCGAAAGCGUAGCUAAUACCGCAUACGACCUACGGGUGAAAGUGGGGGAUCGCAAGACCUCACGUCAUAGGAGCGGCCGAUGGCGGAUUAGCUAGUUGGUGAGGUAAAGGCUUACCAAGGCAACGAUCCGUAGCUGGUCUGAGAGGACGACCAGCCACACUGGGACUGAGACACGGCCCAGACUCCUACGGGAGGCAGCAGUGGGGAAUCUUGGACAAUGGGGGCAACCCUGAUCCAGCAAUGCCGCGUGUGGGAUGAAGGCCUUCGGGUUGUAAACCACUUUUGGCGGGGGCGAAAUAUCGAGUGCUAAUACCAUUCGGUGAUGACGGUACCCGCAGAAUAAGCACCGGCUAACUACGUGCCAGCAGCGGGG